This 274-nucleotide ribosomal RNA is filed under the name uncultured bacterium. RNAcentral describes it as "partial 16S ribosomal RNA". It matches the Rfam family "Bacterial small subunit ribosomal RNA", at positions 523 to 796 of the family's 1533-position model. The record is from RNAcentral.
CUACGGAGGGGGUUAGCGUUGUUCGGAAUUACUGGGCGUAAAGCGUACGUAGGCGGACUAGUAAGUGAGGGGUGAAAUCCCAGGGCUCAACCCUGGAACUGCCUUUCAUACUGCUAGUCUUGAGGUCGAGAGAGGUGAGUGGAAUUCCGAGUGUAGAGGUGAAAUUCGCAGAUAUUCGGAGGAACACCAGUGGCGAAGGCGGCUCACUGGCUCGAUACUGACGCUGAGGUACGAAAGUGUGGGGAGCAAACAGGAUUAGAAACCCCAGUAGUCC